This 474-nucleotide ribosomal RNA is filed under the name Segatella copri. RNAcentral's name for it is "bacterial SSU rRNA". It matches the Rfam family "Bacterial small subunit ribosomal RNA", at positions 1 to 463 of the family's 1533-position model. The record is from RNAcentral. Lineage: Bacteria; Pseudomonadati; Bacteroidota; Bacteroidia; Bacteroidales; Prevotellaceae.
ACAAUGGAGAGUUUGAUCCUGGCUCAGGAUGAACGCUAGCUACAGGCUUAACACAUGCAAGUCGAGGGGAAACGAUAGAGAAAGCUUGCUUUUUCUAGGCGUCGACCGGCGCACGGGUGAGUAACGCGUAUCCAACCUGCCCAUCACUUGGGGAUAACCUUGCGAAAGUAAGACUAAUACCCAAUGACGUCUCUAGAAGACAUCUGAAAGAGAUUAAAGAUUUAUCGGUGAUGGAUGGGGAUGCGUCUGAUUAGCUUGUUGGCGGGGUAACGGCCCACCAAGGCGACGAUCAGUAGGGGUUCUGAGAGGAAGGUCCCCCACAUUGGAACUGAGACACGGUCCAAACUCCUACGGGAGGCAGCAGUGAGGAAUAUUGGUCAAUGGACGAGAGUCUGAACCAGCCAAGUAGCGUGCAGGAAGACGGCCCUAUGGGUUGUAAACUGCUUUUAUAAGGGAAUAAAGUGAGUCUCGUGA